This 243-nucleotide ribosomal RNA is filed under the name uncultured bacterium. RNAcentral describes it as "partial 16S ribosomal RNA". It matches the Rfam family "Bacterial small subunit ribosomal RNA", at positions 534 to 776 of the family's 1533-position model. The record is from RNAcentral.
GCAAGCGUUGUUCGGAUUUACUGGGCGUAAAGGGCGCGUAGGCGGCGUGGCAAGUCACUUGUGAAAUCUCCGGGCUUAACUCGGAACGGUCAAGUGAUACUGCUGUGCUAGAGUGCGGAAGGGGCAACUGGAAUUCUUGGUGUAGCGGUGAAAUGCGUAGAUAUCAAGAGGAACACCUGCGGCGAAGGCGGGUUGCUGGGCCGACACUGACGCUGAGGCGCGAAAGCUAGGGGAGCGAACGGG